ACGCUGAAGGAGGAGCUUGCUUCUCCGGAUGAGUUGCGAACGGGUGAGUAACGCGUAGGUAACCUGCCUGGUAGUGGGGGAUAACUAUUGGAAACGAUAGCUAAUACCGCAUAAUAGCAGUUGUUGCAUGACAACUGUUUGAAAGGUGCAAUUGCACCACUACCAGAUGGACCUGCGUUGUAUUAGCUAGUUGGUGGGGUAACGGCUCACCAAGGCGACGAUACAUAGCCGACCUGAGAGGGUGAUCGGCCACACUGGGACUGAGACACGGCCCAGACUCCUACGGGAGGCAGCAGUAGGGAAUCUUCGGCAAUGGACGGAAGUCUGACCGAGCAACGCCGCGUGAGUGAAGAAGGUUUUCGGAUCGUAAAGCUCUGUUGUAAGAGAAGAACGAGUGUGAGAGUGGAAAGUUCACACUGUGACGGUAUCUUACCAGAAAGGGACGGCUAACUACGUGCCAGCAGCCGCGGUAAUACGUAGGUCCCGAGCGUUGUCCGGAUUUAUUGGGCGUAAAGCGAGCGCAGGCGGUUAGAUAAGUCUGAAGUUAAAGGCUGUGGCUUAACCAUAGUACGCUUUGGAAACUGUUUAACUUGAGUGCAAGAGGGGAGAGUGGAAUUCCAUGUGUAGCGGUGAAAUGCGUAGAUAUAUGGAGGAACACCGGUGGCGAAAGCGGCUCUCU
Molecule: ribosomal RNA, 679 nt
Filed under: uncultured Bacilli bacterium
Lineage: Bacteria; Bacillati; Bacillota; Bacilli
Description: bacterial SSU rRNA
Rfam family: Bacterial small subunit ribosomal RNA
Source: RNAcentral